RNAcentral lists this ribosomal RNA (433 nucleotides) under uncultured bacterium. Its description in RNAcentral is "partial 16S ribosomal RNA". It matches the Rfam family "Bacterial small subunit ribosomal RNA", at positions 29 to 507 of the family's 1533-position model. The record is from RNAcentral.
AACGAACGCUGGCGGCAUGCCUAACACAUGCAAGUCGAACGAGACCUUCGGGUCUAGUGGCGCACGGGUGCGUAACGCGUGGGAACCUGCCCUUAGGUUCGGAAUCACUCCCCGAAAGGGGUGCUAAUACCGGUUAAUGUCUUCGGACCAAGGAUUUAUCGCUUUUGGAUGGGCCCGCGUUGGAUUAGCUAGUUGGUAGGGUAAAAGCCUACCAAGGCGACGAUCCAUAGCUGGUCUGAGAGGAUGAUCAGCCACACUGGGACUGAGACACGGCCCAGACUCCUACGGGAGGCAGCAGUGGGGAAUAUUGGACAAUGGGCGAAAGCCUGAUCCAUCAAUGCCGCGUGAGUGAUGAAGGCCUUAGGGUUGUAAAGCUCUUUUACCCGGGAUGAUAAUGACAGUACCGGGAGAAUAAGCGCCGGCUAACUCCGUG